This is a non-coding RNA of Cinara cedri, 214 nucleotides long. The record is from the annotation of a GenBank genome assembly. Lineage: Eukaryota; Metazoa; Arthropoda; Insecta; Hemiptera; Aphididae.
CCGAAUUUUGACGUAGCACCGCAGAUGAACGCUACGGACGCCCGACUCGGUACCCGUACUCGAAGCCAACAGUCGGAAUGUGGAUUGGGUAACGUUUACAGGCAGAUGUUGUCGAUCUCAAUGACAAGUUCUCACCGAUAGCCUAUGUUUAAGUUGUAAAUCAAAUGCACACUGUAGUGUAUUUAAAAUCGUAUUUUCGACGAUUUUGUAAUUA